AUGCUGCUAAACAGGCCCUGGUGCAAUGACUGGCUUCAGCGAUGUGGGUGGCCCAAUUCAUAUUUCUGUCAAUUCUGCUUCAGAAACCUCGAGACGGUUGACCACAUAUUCUGGUCGUGCCCUUUCACCACGGCAAUCUGGAGCAGCCUGUCAUCUUGGAUAGGUUGUGAAGCCCUGAGUCUGCAAUCUGCUCGAGCAAUCCACAGUAAUACCUAUCGGAUCAUGGGCAUUGUGGAGGGCACAAAACCUGAGUUCAGAAAAGGCAUAAGAUCACUGACGAUGCUAGCAGCUUGGGAAAUCUGGAGGCACUGGAACGACUGCAUGUUCAGAAACAAGGAGGCAUCUAGGCGAGAGGUUCUGCAGGCCAUCAGACGGGGUAUUGACCUAUGGAGACAGGCUGGAGCAACCUGUUUACUGCACCAGUUCACGCUACCACCAGAGGGGAUAAGCUGA
Molecule: ribosomal RNA, 453 nt
Filed under: Triticum aestivum (bread wheat)
Lineage: Eukaryota; Viridiplantae; Streptophyta; Magnoliopsida; Poales; Poaceae
Description: partial small subunit ribosomal RNA
Source: RNAcentral